Molecule: ribosomal RNA, 68 nt
Filed under: Promethearchaeia archaeon
Lineage: Archaea; Promethearchaeati; Promethearchaeota; Promethearchaeia
Description: Candidatus Lokiarchaeia archaeon partial 16S ribosomal RNA
Rfam family: Bacterial small subunit ribosomal RNA
Source: RNAcentral
GCGAGGAGGGAGAAGUCGUAACAAGGUAGCCGUAGGGGAACCUGCGGCUGGAUCACCUCCUACAACAC